GAUGAACGCUAGCGGCAGGCCUAACACAUGCAAGUCGAACGGUAACAUAGAGAAGCUUGCUUUUCUGAUGACGAGUGGCGCACGGGUGCGUAACGCGUAUAGAACCUACCCUUUACAGGGGGAUAGCCCGGAGAAAUUCGGAUUAAUACCCCAUAGUACUAUUUAGAGGCAUCUUUAGAUGGUUAAAGAGAUUCGGUAAAGGAUGGCUAUGCGUCCUAUUAGUUCGUAGGUGAGGUAACGGCUCACCUAGACUUCGAUAGGUAGGGGCCCUGAGAGGGGGAUCCCCCACACUGGUACUGAGACACGGACCAGACUCCUACGGGAGGCAGCAGUGAGGAAUAUUGGACAAUGGUCGGGAGACUGAUCCAGCCAUGCCGCGUGCAGGAAGACUGCCCUAUGGGUUGUAAACUGCUUUUUUACGGGAAGAAUAAUACCCACGUGUGGGUAGAUGACGGUACCGUACGAAUAAGGACCGGCUAACUCCG
Molecule: ribosomal RNA, 485 nt
Filed under: uncultured Robiginitalea sp.
Lineage: Bacteria; Pseudomonadati; Bacteroidota; Flavobacteriia; Flavobacteriales; Flavobacteriaceae
Description: bacterial SSU rRNA
Rfam family: Bacterial small subunit ribosomal RNA
Source: RNAcentral